RNAcentral lists this ribosomal RNA (423 nucleotides) under uncultured bacterium. RNAcentral's name for it is "partial 16S ribosomal RNA". It matches the Rfam family "Bacterial small subunit ribosomal RNA", at positions 360 to 775 of the family's 1533-position model. The record is from RNAcentral.
AAUCUUGGACAAUGGGGGAAACCCUGUUCCAGCCAUCCCGCGUGUAUGAUGAAGGCCUUCGGGUUGUAAUGUACUUUUGUCAGAGAAGAAAAGGUACCUCCUAAUACGAGGUACUGCUGCUGGUAUGUGCAGAAUAAUCACCGGCUACCUACGUACCAGCAGCCGCGGUAAUACGUACGGUGCAAGCGUUAAUCGGAAUUACUGGGCGUAAAGCGUGUGUAGGCGGUUCGGAAAGAAAGAUGUGAAGUCCCAGGGCUCAACCUUGGAACUGCAGUUUUAACUGCCGAGCUAGAGUAUGUCAGAGGGGGGUAGAAUUCCACGUGUAGCAGUGAAAUGCGUAGAUAUGUGGAGGAAUACCGAUGGCGAAGGCAGCCCCCUGGGAUAAUACUGACGCUCAGACACGAAAGCGUGGGGAGCAAACAG